This is a long non-coding RNA of Cyprinus carpio carpio, 342 nucleotides long. The record is from Ensembl. NCBI's taxonomy places the organism in Eukaryota, Metazoa, Chordata, Actinopteri, Cypriniformes, Cyprinidae.
UUAGCUUUCCAUGCUUCAAUUCAGUUCGCUAUGUAUAGGAUUUCAGAAAAACAAUUCUGUGUCCGUUAAAUCGACAUUUUACCACCGCGUUAUCCGUUCGUCAUCUAUGAACACGACAUCGCGGGGUGUAAGCGCUCCCGGUUAGGAAUGCACGGUUCUAUCUCAGCACCAUUUUCCCGGUUGCUAACUGCUCUCAGUGAAACUGAUAUGAUGGUGAAAUGGCUCCCUCCGGUUCAAAUAUUGAGCAGCAAGCCUUUGACGGUAUUAAUACAUGUAAGUACAUAUUAACUAUUCUUUUUAUAAAUUAAAAUGAACGUAUUUUAAUUUUGUCUUUUUAUAAAU